Molecule: ribosomal RNA, 406 nt
Filed under: uncultured bacterium
Lineage: Bacteria
Description: partial 16S ribosomal RNA
Rfam family: Bacterial small subunit ribosomal RNA
Source: RNAcentral
AUUGAACGCUGGCGGCAGGCCUAACACAUGCAAGUCGAACGAGCGGCGGACGGGUGAGUAAUGUCUGGGAAACUGCCUGAUGGCGGGGGAUAACUACUGGAAACGGUAGCUAAUACCGCAUACCAUCAGAUGAACCCAUAUGGGAUUAGCUAGUAGGUAAGGUAACGGCUUACCUAGGCGACGAUCCCUAGCUGGUCUGAGAGGAUGAUCAGCCACACUGGUACUGAGACACGGCCCAGACUCCUACGGGAGGCAGCAGUGGGGAAUAUUGCACAAUGGGCGCAAGCCGGAUGCAGCCAUGCCGCGUGUAUGAAGAAGGCCUUCGGGUUGUAAAGUACUUUCAGCCGGGAGGCGUUACCGGCAGAAGAAGCACCGGCUAACUCCGUGCCAGCAGCCGCGGUAAUAC